Molecule: unclassified non-coding RNA, 181 nt
Filed under: soil metagenome
Description: partial internal transcribed spacer 1
Source: RNAcentral
CCGAGUUUACAACUCCCAAACCCAAUGUGAACGUUACCAAACUGUUGCCUCGGCGGGGUCACGCCCCGGGUGCGUAAAAGCCCCGGAACCAGGCGCCCGCCGGAGGAACCAACCAAACUCUUCUGUAGUCCCCUCGCGGACGUAUUUCUUACAGCUCUGAGCAAAAAUUCAAAAUGAAUCA